AACGAACGCUGGCGGCAUGCCUAACACAUGCAAGUCGAACGAAACCUUCGGGUCUAGUGGCGCUCGGGUGCGUAACGCGUGGGAAUCUGCCACUGGGUUCGCCAUAACAGUUGGAAAGGACUGCUAAUACCGGAUGAUGACGUAAGUCGAAAGGUUUAUCGCCCUGGGAUGUGCCCGCGUAGGAUUAGCUUGUUGGUGGGGUCAAGGCAUACCAAGGCGUCGAUCCUUAGCUGGUCUGAGAGGAUGAUCAGCCACACUUGGGCUGGGACACAGCCCAGACUCCUACGCAAGGGAGCAGUGGGGAAUAGUGGACAACGGGCGAAAGCCUGAUCCAGCAACGCCCGGUGAGUGAUGAUGGCCGUAGGGUUGUAAAGCCCUUUUACCCGGGAUGAUAAUGACGGUACCGGGUGAAUAAGCCCCGGCUAACUCCGUG
RNAcentral lists this ribosomal RNA (433 nucleotides) under uncultured bacterium. Its description in RNAcentral is "partial 16S ribosomal RNA". It matches the Rfam family "Bacterial small subunit ribosomal RNA", at positions 29 to 507 of the family's 1533-position model. The record is from RNAcentral.